RNAcentral lists this ribosomal RNA (232 nucleotides) under uncultured bacterium. RNAcentral's name for it is "partial 16S ribosomal RNA". It matches the Rfam family "Bacterial small subunit ribosomal RNA", at positions 99 to 334 of the family's 1533-position model. The record is from RNAcentral.
CGGACGGGUGAGUAAUGUCUGGGAAACUGCCUGAUGGAGGGGGAUAACUACUGGAAACGGUAGCUAAUACCGCAUAACGUCGCAAGACCAAAGAGGGGGACCUUAGGGCCUCUUGCCAUCGGAUGUGCCCAGAUGGGAUUAGCUAGUAGGUGGGGUAACGGCUCACCUAGGCGACGAUCCCUAGCUGGUCUGAGAGGAUGGCCAGCCACACUGGAACUGAGACACGGUCCAG